RNAcentral lists this ribosomal RNA (154 nucleotides) under uncultured bacterium. RNAcentral describes it as "partial 16S ribosomal RNA". It matches the Rfam family "Bacterial small subunit ribosomal RNA", at positions 335 to 509 of the family's 1533-position model. The record is from RNAcentral.
UGCCUACGGGGCAGCAGUGGGGGAUAUUGCACAAUGGGGGGAACCCUGAUGCAGCGACGCCGCGUGGGUGAAGAAGCGCCUCGGCGCGUAAAGCCCUGUCAGCAGGGAAGAAAAUGACGGUACCUGAAGAAGAAGCCCCGGCUAACUACGUGCC